Long non-coding RNA from Pezoporus occidentalis (night parrot), 801 nucleotides. RefSeq lists it as uncharacterized. The record is from RefSeq and is a predicted model, not a curated record. NCBI's taxonomy places the organism in Eukaryota, Metazoa, Chordata, Aves, Psittaciformes, Psittacidae. The transcript is spliced from 6 exons.
AUUUUUACUAGUGGGACCAUACGAGAAACAUUUUGCUUACACAGGUUGUUGAUGCCAGUGUUAUGUCACGGUUUGCCACUACUGGCACUUGUUUCAGCCACUCCUGGGCCCUGGAAGACCCCAGUUCAGAACUGCAGUGACUACAAUCCCCAGCUACCUGAGGCUCACCUCAGUAUGACUUGCUCUUUAAGAAACUGGAUUACCUAGAACUAAGAAUAAUAUCUGAAGGUAGAGUUUCUUUACCUCAAGAAAAGCAUCAAAAAUGCAGUUGAAUUACCCCAUCCAUUAACCAUAGGAAAAAAGAAAAGGUACCUCUGGACAAGAUCAAGCAGACAUGACAAAUGCCUCUGACUUCUUUUUAAAUUGAACCUGGAAGGUCAUCACUGAACAAACAAAAUGCUAUACAACCAGGGCCAUAAAUUAUGAGAGCUAACGAAAAGGUUAUAGGAGAAUGCUCUUCAGCGCCCCAUGAAAUCAUCUCUUCUCCCAGCUGGACAAGCACCAGUUCCUUCAGCCUCUUCUUGGAGGGCAAGGAACCUCUACUUCUGGGAGCACAGCUGAAACAUCUGGUAUACUUCCUGUUCCUGCCUUUGUAAAAAUAUGCUGAAUUAUCAGUAUGAAUUCAAAGAAGGGAAGAUGGAGAAAUGGAAAAAUUCAGAGUAACUUCAAAUGUUUGCUUAGAAAUACUAUCAUUGGUCAGUAUUAAUGUUAACACUUCCUAAGGACUCUGUGUUUAAUAUGUGUGCCAAUAUAAAGAAACUGUAAUUUAUGCAAUUUAAUGUUUUUGAGCAGUGAAAUCAA